AGUCGCUUUCUUUACAAUAUGAACUUCAGCUCAUCGGUUACAGGGCAUAAUGUUUAGCUCAUGGUUGUAAGUUCAAGUCUCACUAGAAACAUUCUCUUUUACUCUUUUUUUCUGGAAUGCUUUGAUUUGCUUUUCUUUGUCGAGGGUACAUACACUGGGUAUGUUGUUGUCUUCUUGUUGUAGUAUUAGGAGUAGGACUGAAAUUGUACCGUUUAAGCAAAGAAUGUGGGUAAUUAUUGUACCAUGUAAACUGUAAAAGAAAUAGAAUUAUUUUGAGCUUUUGUUAAAAAAUAGUGGUCAAUUUCGGAUUUUUUUCCCUCUCAUAUUGACAACUAGGCAGGGUAUAUUAGGAAAUGCACACAGAAAUGACAACAUUUUAGGUUUCAGGAAAUCUAUAUAAAACGAAGAAGGUGUUAGCCUUUAACCUCAAACUACUUGAUCUUAUCUGAGCAGUGGGUAGCGGCGAAGACGGUAACGGAAAUAUAACCGGUGCAGUUAGAGAGGAGUUACCGCCCUAUUAAUUUAGGGUUUAAUGGCGGCUCCGUUAAUCUCUUUCUCUGCCUUCCAAUUUUCCGUUACCCCUUUUGCCCUGCUUUACUGUGAUGAAGACUGUCUGCUAUCUGAGCCUAUCGAUAAAUCGGGGCGAUGAGGGUUUCUGCGGACUUUACAAUAAUACCCUCACAAAAACAAGUUUUUAUUAUUUGCUAUUAGCUGCCAUGAUGACGGAAGCCGCUCUUUGCUUUGGCAAAUGAAAUUCAUGGUUGAAGGCUGUUGAAAUAAAGCACUCCUUUGCUGGUGCAGAUGGCGCCUCAGCUGCCAAACUAAUUGGAGUUGGUUCAAUAUUGUUUUAUUGAAGUCCAGUUGUGAAUUUCUGCAAUGAAGUUGCUCUACUAUUUUAUACCAGUAAUCUGAGAGGCGUUCGUUACCUUCUA
Lycium barbarum (goji berry) is the source of this 932-nucleotide long non-coding RNA. RefSeq lists it as uncharacterized. Lineage: Eukaryota; Viridiplantae; Streptophyta; Magnoliopsida; Solanales; Solanaceae. The record is from RefSeq and is a predicted model, not a curated record. The transcript is spliced from 2 exons.